CAGAAAUUCUACCUUGUCUCUCUCGCCUUCUCUCAAUUUCACAUUCACACAAACUCAUCGCACUCCUCUUCUCUUCUCUCCCACACACAUAUAAAACAAACAAAACCCUAUUCUCUCCAUUUUCUUCCUCAUUUUCCAACUCCGUGUGGCGGUUAUCAAAACGACCUCGUUUCAUUACCGUCUUCAACCUUCGCCUCGUUUUGUGUCCCUAG
Non-coding RNA from Vicia faba (fava bean), 212 nucleotides. Lineage: Eukaryota; Viridiplantae; Streptophyta; Magnoliopsida; Fabales; Fabaceae. The record is from the annotation of a GenBank genome assembly.